GGUUAAUCCCCGAUAGGUGGAGAACUCUGGAAUGAAUCUCCGCCCAAAGGGCGCUUGCGCUAUGCUCGCAGGUGUCGCCCAAGGAUGGGGCCGCGACCGAUCAGGUUGUUGGUGAGGUAAUGGCUCACCAAGCCUUUAACCGGUGCGGGCCGUGGGAGCGGGAGCCCGGAGAUGGGCACUGAGACAAGGGCCCAGGCCCUACGGGGCGCAGCAGUCGCGAAAACUUUGCAAUACACGAAAGUGUGACAGGGCUAUCCCGAGUGCCAUCCGCUGAGGAAGGCUUUUACCCAGUUUAGUACGCUGGGAGAAUAAGGAGAGGGCAAGACUGAUGUCAGCCGCCGCGGUAAUACCAGCUCUCCGAGUGGUGUGGAUGUUUAUUGG
Molecule: ribosomal RNA, 381 nt
Filed under: uncultured archaeon
Lineage: Archaea
Description: bacterial SSU rRNA
Rfam family: Archaeal small subunit ribosomal RNA
Source: RNAcentral